GACGAACGCUGGCGGCGUGCUUAACACAUGCAAGUCGAACGGAAAGGCCCUGCUUGCAGGGUACUCGAGUGGCGAACGGGUGAGUAACACGUGGGUGAUCUGCCCUGCACUUCGGGAUAAGCCUGGGAAACUGGGUCUAAUACCGGAUAGGAGCCAUUUUUAGUGGGAUGGUUGGAAAGUUUUUUGGGUGUAGGGUGAGCUCGCGGCCUAUCAGCUUGUUGGGGGGGUAAUGGCCUACCAAGGCGGCGACGGGUAGCCGGCCUGAGAGGGUGGACGGCCACAUUGGGACUGAGAGACGGCCCAGACUCCUACGGGAGGCAGCAGUGGGGAAUAUUGAACAAUGGGCGCAAGCCUGAUGCAGCGACGCCGCGUGGGGGAUGACGGCCUUCGGGUUGUAAACUCCUUUCGCUAGGGACGAAGCUUUUUGUGACGGUACCUAGACAAGAAGCACCGGCUAACUACGUG
This 465-nucleotide ribosomal RNA is filed under the name uncultured bacterium. RNAcentral describes it as "partial 16S ribosomal RNA". It matches the Rfam family "Bacterial small subunit ribosomal RNA", at positions 28 to 507 of the family's 1533-position model. The record is from RNAcentral.